RNAcentral lists this ribosomal RNA (801 nucleotides) under uncultured bacterium. RNAcentral's name for it is "bacterial SSU rRNA". It matches the Rfam family "Bacterial small subunit ribosomal RNA", at positions 83 to 870 of the family's 1533-position model. The record is from RNAcentral.
CGGACGAGUAAAGCGGCGAGAGGGUGAGUAACACGUAACCAACGUACCCCUCAGAUCGGGAUAACCACUGGAAACGGUGGGUAAUACCGAAUGGUCCCCGGAAGGACAUCCUUCCGACGGUAAACGGUGGCUUCGGCUGCUGCUGGGGGAGCGGGUUGCGGCCUAUCAGCUUGUUGGUGGGGUAAAGGCCUACCAAGGCAAUGACGGGUAGCGGGUCUGAGAGGAUGAUCCGUCACACUGGGACUGAGACACUGCCCAGACUCCUACGGGAGGCUGCAGUCGAGAAUCUUCCACAAUGGGCGAAAGCCUGAUGGAGCGACGCUGCGUGCAGGAUGAAGGCCUUAGGGUUGUAAACUGCUGUCACGCUAUAGGAAACCGCUGUGGUUAAUAGCCUCAGCGCUGACCAAAGCGAGAGGAAGUGCCGGCUAACUCCGUGCCAGCAGCCGCGGUAAGACGGAGGGCGCAAGCGUUGUUCGGAAUCACUGGGCAUAAAGAGCACGUAGGCUGUUAGUUAAGUCGGAUGUGAAAGCCCUCGGCCCAACCGGGGAACUGCAUUCGAUACUGGCUGACUCGAGGACAGGAGGGGUGAGUGGAACUCCAGGUGGAACGGUGAAAUGUGUAGAUAUCUGGAGGAACACCGGUGGCGAAAGCGGCUCACUGGCCUGUCUCUGACGCUGAGGUGCGAAAGCUAGGGGAGCGAACGGGAUUAGAUACCCCGGUAGUCCUAGCCGUAAACGAUGGGCACUAGGCAGCGGGCCUUCCUAUGGGGUUCUCUGCCGUAGCUAAUGUGUUAAGUGCCCC